This 249-nucleotide long non-coding RNA is filed under the name Elaeis guineensis (African oil palm). RNAcentral describes it as "long non-coding RNA (EGUI_LNC073455)". The record is from RNAcentral. Lineage: Eukaryota; Viridiplantae; Streptophyta; Magnoliopsida; Arecales; Arecaceae.
ACACGUAACAUAUUGAAAGAUCAACUUCAAACAAAUUUAAAUUAUGGGCAAAUUAAAAAGAAUAAUUACAGCUCCCCAUAAACAAGGGGAUCCAGAUAACAAAGGGUGAUUAUAGAUCACCCCUGAUUUUAGUCUCCAAUGGUAACAGAACCACGCCUCGUUUAUAUAAACUAGUCGAGAGGACACCAAGUACAUCAUCUUGUAAUUUAUCUACCAGCCCAUGCUAUCAUCUUACUUUUCUUCCAUGCA